Molecule: transfer RNA, 74 nt
Filed under: Salmonella phage NINP13076
Lineage: Duplodnaviria; Heunggongvirae; Uroviricota; Caudoviricetes
Rfam family: tRNA
About the family: Transfer RNA (tRNA) molecules are approximately 80 nucleotides in length. Their secondary structure includes four short double-helical elements and three loops (D, anti-codon, and T loops).
Source: Rfam by way of RNAcentral
GCAGGUGUAGCUUAAUUGAAUAGAGCUUCGUCAUACGAAGGCGAAAGAUCGGGGUUUGAGUCCCUGCACUUGCU